This 81-nucleotide ribosomal RNA is filed under the name Zoogloea ramigera. RNAcentral describes it as "partial 23S ribosomal RNA". It matches the Rfam family "Bacterial large subunit ribosomal RNA", at positions 2844 to 2925 of the family's 2925-position model. The record is from RNAcentral. Lineage: Bacteria; Pseudomonadati; Pseudomonadota; Betaproteobacteria; Rhodocyclales; Zoogloeaceae.
ACCAGGACGUUGAUAGGCUGGGUGUGGAAGUGCAGUAAUGCAUUAAGCUAACCAGUACUAAUUGCCCGUACGGCUUGUCCC